CGGGGCUAAAGUAAGUACCGAAGCUGUAGACUUGCGCACAACUUAGAUUAUUUAAGUUUAGAAUAUGAGAAACUAAGUUAUAUGUUUAGUUAUAUUUUUACUGAUUUUUAUAGAGUAAAGAUAGAAAUAAAACUUAGUAAAAUCAGUAAAAAUAUUCUUAGACUAAAGUUAAGUAGUUUAAGUUGUGUGCAAGUGGUAGGAGAGCGUUCUAUUUGCGUCGAAGGUAUACCGGUAAGGAGUGCUGGAGCGAAUAGAAGUGAGCAUGCAGGCAUGAGUAGCGAUAAUUAAUGUGAGAAUCAUUAACGCCGUAAACCCAAGGUUUCCUACGCGAUGCUCGUCAUCGUAGGGUUAGUCGGGUCCUAAGUCGAGUCCGAAAGGGGUAGACGAUGGCAAAUUGGUUAAUAUUCCAAUACCAACAUUAGUGUGCGAUGGAAGGACGCUUAGGGCUAAGGGGGCUAGCGGAUGGAAGUGCUAGUCUAAGGUCGUAGGAGGUUAUACAGGCAAAUCCGUAUAACAAUACUCCGAGAACUGAAAGGCUUUUUGAAGUCUUCGGAUGGAUAGAAGAACCCCUGAUGCCGUCGAGCCAAGAAAAGUUUCUAAGUUUAGCUAAUGUUGCCCGUACCGUAAACCGACACAGGUGGGUGGGAUGAGUAUUCUAAGGCGCGUGGAAGAACUCUCUUUAAGGAACUCUGCAAAAUAGCACCGUAUCUUCGGUAUAAGGUGUGGUUAGCUUUGUAUUAGGAUUUACUCCGAAAGCAAGGAAACUUACAACAAAGAGUCCCUCCCGACUGUUUACCAAAAACACAGCACUCUGCUAACUCGUAAGAGGAUGUAUAGGGUGUGACGCCUGCCCGGUGCUCGAAGGUUAAUUGAUGGGGUUAGCAUUAGCGAAGCUCUUGAUCGAAGCCCGAGUAAACGGCGGCCGUAACUAUAACGGUCCUAAGGUAGCGAAAUUCCUUGUCGGUUAAAUACCGACCUGCAUGAAUGGCGUAACGAGAUGGGAGCUGUCUCAAAGAGGGAUCCAGUGAAAUUGUAGUGGAGGUGAAAAUUCCUCCUACCCGCGGCAAGACGGAGAGACCCCGUGGACCUUUACUACAGCUUGACACUGCUAUUUGGAUAAGAAUGUGCAGGAUAGGUGGGAGGCUUUGAGUAUAUGACGCCAGUUGUAUAUGAGCCAUUGUUGAGAUACCACUCUUUCUUAUUUGGGUAGCUAACCAGCUUGAGUUAUCCUCAAGUGGGACAAUGUCUGGUGGGUAGUUUGACUGGGGCGGUCGCCUCCCAAAUAAUAACGGAGGCUUACAAAGGUUGGCUCAGAACGGUUGGAAAUCGUUCGUAGAGUAUAAAGGUAUAAGCCAGCUUAACUGCAAGACAUACAAGUCAAGCAGAGACGAAAGUCGGUCUUAGUGAUCCGGUGGUUCUGUGUGGAAGGGCCAUCGCUCAAAGGAUAAAAGGUACCCCGGGGAUAACAGGCUGAUCUCCCCCAAGAGCUCACAUCGACGGGGAGGUUUGGCACCUCGAUGUCGGCUCAUCGCAUCCUGGGGCUGGAGCAGGUCCCAAGGGUAUGGCUGUUCGCCAUUUAAAGCGGUACGCGAGCUGGGUUCAGAACGUCGUGAGACAGUUCGGUCCCUAUCUGCCGUGGGCGUAAGAAGAUUGAAGAGAUUUGACCCUAGUACGAGAGGACCGGGUUGAACAAACCACUGGUGUAGCUGUUGUUCUGCCAAGAGCAUCGCAGCGUAGCUAAGUUUGGAAAGGAUAAACGCUGAAAGCAUCUAAGCGUGAAGCCAACUCUAAGAUGAAUCUUCUCUAAGCUCUCUAGAAGACUACUAGUUUGAUAGGCUGGGUGUGUAAUGGAUGAAAGUCCUUUAGCUGACCAGUACUAAUAGAGCGUUUGGCUUAUCUUUAAUAAAGCAU
This 1911-nucleotide ribosomal RNA is filed under the name Campylobacter coli. Its description in RNAcentral is "partial 23S ribosomal RNA". It matches the Rfam family "Bacterial large subunit ribosomal RNA", at positions 1176 to 2925 of the family's 2925-position model. Lineage: Bacteria; Pseudomonadati; Campylobacterota; Epsilonproteobacteria; Campylobacterales; Campylobacteraceae. The record is from RNAcentral.